Long non-coding RNA from Beta vulgaris subsp. vulgaris (sugar beet), 345 nucleotides. RefSeq lists it as uncharacterized. NCBI's taxonomy places the organism in Eukaryota, Viridiplantae, Streptophyta, Magnoliopsida, Caryophyllales, Amaranthaceae. The record is from RefSeq and is a predicted model, not a curated record. The transcript has 3 exons.
GUGUUUCCCAAUCAUAUGAUUGAGUUUGCAAAAAUGCAGAACCAGAUUUCUUUUGAUGCUGUGCAAAACGUUCAGUCAUAUUUAUUGGCCCCUUCAUCUUCGACAAUGUUCUCUUAGUCUCUAAUCAUGGGUCGUCUUCGCGUGUUAGAUCCUGACUACACAGAUGUUGGGGGGUGGUUUGGCAGCACCCUUUGGUGCACAUCUCUCCCAGGAAGAAAUUACAUUGCACAGACAGUCAUGUGCUGGGAUCUUAGGGUCUAGGACUAUGUAAUUUGCCAUUAGAGUUGUCACAACUCACAAACACUGUGCUUAAUAACUUCAUUUUGAUACUGUUGAUUAACAUAC